AUUGAACGCUGGCGGCCGGCCUAACACAUGCCAGUCGAACGAGUGGCGGACGGGUGAGUAAUGUCUGGGAAACUGCCUGAUGGAGGGGGAUAACUACUGGAAACGGUAGCUAAUACCGCAUACCAUCGGAUGUGCCCAGGUGGGAUUAGAUAGUAGGUGGGGUAACGGCUCACCUAGGCGACGAUCCCUAGCUGGUCUGAGAGGAUGAACAGCCACACUGGAACUGAGACACGGUCCAGACUCCUGAGGGAGGCAGCAGGGGAGAAUAUUGAACGAUGGGCGCAAGCCUGAGGCAGCAAUGCCGCGUGUAUGAAGAAGUCCUUCGGGUUGUAAAUUACUUUCAGCGGGGAGGCGUUACCCGCAGAAGAAGCACCGGCUUACUCCGUGCCAGCAGCCGCGGUAAUUC
This 406-nucleotide ribosomal RNA is filed under the name uncultured bacterium. RNAcentral's name for it is "partial 16S ribosomal RNA". It matches the Rfam family "Bacterial small subunit ribosomal RNA", at positions 30 to 526 of the family's 1533-position model. The record is from RNAcentral.